CGAAGAAGAAUCCAGCAGGCAGAAGCGUGCCGCCAUCAACAUUGCCUCCAUUUCUUCCUUGUUGUAGUUCUUCAAAUUCGGGUCAAUUAGUUGAUUUCCUUGGCCGCAACUGAGUAGAGGUCUUGCCUAUAAGAUUUCAACUUCCUGAACAACAUCGUCGGAUUGAGAAUCCGAGCUUAGAACUUUCACUGCUGCUGCUUGUCCAUCUUCGAGCAUUAAAAGACUUCAAAUGUAGAUUACAUAUGAACCAUUCCAUCACAGCUUGAAGGGAAAAAAGGAGGGAGGAAGCAGCUUCUGGCUAGAUGGCAAUGAUAAAAUAGAACAGUACGGUCACCAGCCGAGCUGCACCAUUGUUCAUGGUGCGUGGGAGUCCCCGAAAGGACAUGAAACUGUCUGGACAGGAAGGGAGAGAGAGAGAGAGAAAACGAGUGGCAAGCCCACCACUAGGAGAUAUCGUCCGCUUUAGUCUGUUACUUAUCGCGGUUAACCUCACGGUUUUCAAACGCGUCUACUAGAGAGAAGUUUUCACACCCUUCUAAAGAAUGUUUUGUUCCCCUCUCCAUCCGACAAUUGUGAGAUC
Cucurbita maxima (winter squash) is the source of this 580-nucleotide long non-coding RNA. RefSeq lists it as uncharacterized. NCBI's taxonomy places the organism in Eukaryota, Viridiplantae, Streptophyta, Magnoliopsida, Cucurbitales, Cucurbitaceae. The transcript is spliced from 4 exons. The record is from RefSeq and is a predicted model, not a curated record.